GAUGAAGAACGUAGCGAAAUGCGAUAAGUAAUGUGAAUUGCAGAAUUCAGUGAAUCAUCGAAUCUUUGAACGCACCUUGCACUCCUUGGUAUUCCGAGGAGUACGCCUGUUCGGGUGUUAUGAAGCUCUCAAAACGCAAUUGGCUUAAAACCUGAUUGUUGUUUUGGAUUUGAACUUUGCCGUGUUAUAACGGCUGGUUUUAAAAGUAUUAGCUGGUACUAGAACGAAUUGGUUCUACUCAACGUGAUAAUUAUCUGAUCGUUGAGGACAUUCCUUUCACGAGGAAUGGCCAUAGUAAAUUCAAUGGACUGCUUCUAAUCUGGCUUUAAUUCUUUAUUGGAUUAACCACUUUUCAAAUCUGACCUCGAAUCAGGUGGGACUACCCGCUGAACUUAAGCAUAUCAAUAAGCGGAGGA
This 416-nucleotide unclassified non-coding RNA is filed under the name soil metagenome. RNAcentral describes it as "partial contains 5.8S ribosomal RNA, internal transcribed spacer 2, and large subunit ribosomal RNA". The stretch from base 1 to 120 matches the Rfam family "5.8S ribosomal RNA", at positions 35 to 154 of the family's 154-position model. The record is from RNAcentral.